UCGAACGGGGAUUACACGGAGAUGCGAUUUCGGUCAAAUCAAGUGCAAUCUUAGUGGCGGACGGGUGAGUAACGCGUGGGUAACCUGCCUUGCACUGGGGGAUAACACUUAGAAAUAGGUGCUAAUACCGCAUAAGCGCACGGUCCUGCAUGGGACAGUGUGAAAAACUCCGGUGGUGCAAGAUGGACCCGCAUCUGAUUAGCUGGUUGGCGGGGUAAAGGCCCACCAAGGCGACGAUCAGUAGCCGGCCUGAGAGGGUGGACGGCCACAUUGGGACUGAGACACGGCCCAAACUCCUACGGGAGGCAGCAGUGGGGGAUAUUGGACAAUGGGGGGAACCCUGAUCCAGCGACGCCGCGUGAGUGAAGAAGUAUUUCGGUAUGUAAAGCUCUGUCAGCAGGGAAGAAAGCAAUGACGGUACCUGACCAAGAAGCCCCGGCUAACUACGUGCCAGCAGCCGCGGUAAUACGUAGGGGGCAAGCGUUAUCCGGAAUUACUGGGUGUAAAGGGAGCGUAGACGGCUGUGCAAGUCUGGAGUGAAAGGCGGGGGCCCCAACCCCCGGACUGCUCUGGAAACUGUAUGCCUGGAGUGCAGGAGAGGUAAGCGGAAUUCCUAGUGUAGCGGUGAA
This 629-nucleotide ribosomal RNA is filed under the name uncultured bacterium. RNAcentral describes it as "bacterial SSU rRNA". It matches the Rfam family "Bacterial small subunit ribosomal RNA", at positions 62 to 685 of the family's 1533-position model. The record is from RNAcentral.